Molecule: RNA transcript, 4019 nt
Organism: Papaver somniferum (opium poppy)
Lineage: Eukaryota; Viridiplantae; Streptophyta; Magnoliopsida; Ranunculales; Papaveraceae
Gene name: E3 ubiquitin-protein ligase PRT1-like
Exons: 9
Source: RefSeq, a predicted model, not a curated record
GAAGGUGUAUCCAUCCAUCUUCUUCUAAAUGCCCUAUUAAUCAUGUUUGGAUAUCAUUAUGAAAUUGUUGCUAAAAUUUCAAAAGCGAUUACUAAAGGUGUAUCCAAACGCCUUCGAGGAUACCAGACAGAAAAGAGGUGAAAAUUGAUUAUUGAUGUUAAGGUCAGCGAAGGUCGGUGGGCAAACACUUUCCUACCCCUUGUAUUAAAGAUUCCGAUGAUCAAUCAAAAAAAAAUUAAAAAUAAAAAAACCCGACGACCCUUCAGGGAGUUUAGAAAAUAGGAUUGGCUUAAGAUUAAAACGUCAAAGGUGGUGUUUUGUGUCUGUCUGCAUCUUUCUCCCAAGAAAUACAUUCCUGGGCGCUCUGGUUUUCUUCCCUUACGUUUCUGAUUUCACUAUGGAGGACAAAACACAACUAAAACCAGCCAAUGAUUCUCCUUCGUUGCAUGAAGUCCAAACACUAGACGAUUCUUCUGAUGAAGGCGAGGAAAUCAAUGAAUCCUUUGUUUGUUGCAUUUGUCUAGAGCUGCUCCACAAGCCGAUUGUACUUGCUUGCGGCCACGUUUCUUGUUUCUGGUGUGUUCAUCAUGCGAUGGAUUUUGGGCGAGAGUCUCAUUGUCCGAUUUGUCGACGUGAAUAUAACCAUUUUCCCAGUAUCUGUGAGCUGCUUCACUUCUUGUUGCUGAAGAUGUACCGGGAAACCUACAGGAGAAGGGAGAUGCAAUUGUUAGAAGUAGAAAAGAUGCGGGGUGUAUUCUCGCCGCAGCUUGAUCAGAGUAGCUCAUGUCUUGAUUCUGAACCAAAAGCUCCACAUCCUCCUCCUAAUUCUAUCAGUUGUUCUCAGUCCAUCUCGUGUCAUGAAACCAAUUCCUCAGUUAAAACCUACCCUGCUCCCAUAGGGAACUCCCCUGAAAAGUGUGCAGAAAAUUCUGUCAGAACAAAGAAUGUAAAUACUGAAGAGAACACUUAUCUGAAUUACGAAGCAUGCCAGCGAGUUUCCAUCAAUGACGCACUUUGCAUUACAUGCAAGCAAAUGCUCUUGCAACCCGUAAUUCUUAAUUGUGGCCAUGCAUAUUGUGAAUCUUGUUUAGAAAUACCAGAGCAUGAGGCUCUUAGUUGUCAACUUUGUCAAUUUCCGCAUCCGAAUGGAUUCCCGAAAGUGUGUUUAGUGCUCGAUAAUUUCUUGGAGACAGAAUUCCCCCAAGAGUAUGCGCGGAGAAGAGAGGAUGUUCAGCACAAACUAGUCCGUUCCCAGCAGGGGACUGCGGCAUCAGCCUGCACAACAUCCUCUAAGAAAGAUGGGCCCCUUUCAUCUACUAAACUUAGUCAAUAUUACUCAGAAUGGAUGCGUGGCGCUGGACCAGAUAUUCAUUUUGCAGCUGGUUGUGAUUAUUGUGGGGUGGAGUGUCCGAGUCCCAGAUGGAGAGUCCUUCAGCGUAAUAGCAACAGCGUGCGAUAUGUCCAAUCGUUGGCGAAAGAACAUUGCAAACACAAGAAAUCUGUCGUUAAAACAAUCUUAUGCCACAGGUAUAAUCCUUUUCUUUACUACUGCUACUACAAGCUCACCGACAUCAUUAGCAAACAAUAUUGCAAACACAAGAAAUCGAAUUAUUACAGGCAAGCAAGCAGGCAGAUUCUAGUCUUUUUAAUUACCACUGCCAGCACCACCACCGGCUCCAAAUCCUCCUCCAAAACCUGCACCUCCACCAGCUCCACCGCCACCACCGCCUCCUCCUCCUCCACCGCCUCCGCCCCCGCCCCCGCCCCCACCCCCAAGACCUAAACCAGCUCCAGCACCGAAGCCUCCACCAGCGCCAAAACCUGCACCGCCUCCUACACCUCCUCCACCCCCACCAAAUCCACUCCACCACCAGCCCCACCACCAAUUCCUCCACCGGCACCAAUGCCACCUCCUGCUCCAAACCCUCCACCUGCUCCACCACCUACUCCUCCGCCUCCACCAGCACCGCCUCCUCCUCCCAAUCCCCCACCGCCACCAAUUCCACCACCAGCACCAGCUCCACCACCGACACCACCUCCUGCUCCAAUACCACCGCCAGCACCACCUCCUCCUCCUAGUCCACCGACUCCACCGCCGGCGCCUGCACCACCACCUACACCCACCAGCUCCAGCACCCCCACCAAUCCCACCUCCAACUCCACCCCCACCCCCUAGUCCACCACCUCCACCGAUUCCACCUCCGGCGCCUGCACCACCACCAGAUCCAGCACCUCCUAAUCCACCGCCUCCACCAAUUCCACCACCUAUACCUCCACCAGCUCCAACACCACCUCCAGCACCACCUCCUAAUCCACCACCAGCGGCUGCCCCACCACCUAUACCUCCGCCAGCUCCAGCUCCCCCACCAACACCACCUCCGACUCCACCCCCACCUCCUAGUCCACCACCAGCACCUCCACCUAAUCCUCCGCCACUACCAAUUCCACCUCCAGCACCACCCCCAACUCCACCACCUCCACCAAUUCCACCGCCUCCACCUAAUCCUCCGCCACCAGCAGCACCACCUCCGAAUCCACCACCAGCACCUCCACCAAGACCACCCCCACCACCAAGUCCUCCACCAUGUCUAAACCCCUUGCUAUAAAUACCAUGUCCUAAACCUCCACCACCACCCAGUCCACCGCGACGUCCCAAGAAAUGCUUAUCAUCAUCAGUAACAAAUCGAUCAGCAUUAACAAUAGUAAUCAGCAACAAAACACCAAGAAGAACAACUGAAAACAUAAAUGAUGCAUUACAACUAUGACUCCUACUCUUCUUCUUCAAAAUUCCACCAAAUGAACUAGCACCCAUCUUAAUCUCAACCUUGUAAUUCCAGCAGCAAUUGCUUACAACAUAUAUAUCUGCACUCACCAACAAAAUCAAUCCUCUAAAUUUAAUAUUCUUCAAUACUACCUAGUACUUGAAAGAUAGAAGAAAAAUAAGGUUUGAGACAAGCUCACUUUGAACUGCAAUGGUGUUGGGUCAUUGGAGUAUUUAUACUGAAACUAAGAAGGUCAACACGGAGAUGAACAUUUAUUACACAGGUUCAAAAUUACGCACCAUCCAACCACCUCACGAUGAGUACAAUGAAUACUAGCGCAGUGUAGCUGCAGCAUGUUAAAAAAAUGGAAAGAAAAAAAAGUCUUUGCUCAGAGAUAUAUCAGUACUCUCUGGCCUGAGUAAUUUCCCUCCUAUAGUGAUCAUCCAUACUUGGAAAUGCCGCGUAUUUCAGUAGGUAGAGUUAAAUAAAUUGCUAGUGGACUUAACUUCCCAACUGCAUUCGUAGCUCAGGCAUCAGACCUCUAUUAAUUACCUCAGCUGUAGCCUGUAAGGUAAGGAGAUAUAUAGUGGACACAGUUGAAGUUCUAAAUGCAUGUUAGAGUUGGUGACUGUUUCUCUUUCUGUGUGGGAAAAAAUGAAAGAAAAGAAAAAGGAACAACUAUCAUCCGUCCCAAUGUUAGAAAGAAUUGAUGGCCUAGUUGUUCUAGAUGGAUGUUUGAUGGGUUUUUCUCUUGGGAAUAUUUGAACAUGAAGUGAGAGUAAUGAUCUGGGGCCAAAAGGGCUAUCCAUGCAGUGGUGCAUGCAUGGGGAGCUAGUUAUUAAAUUCUAGGACCAAGUGGGAUUUGAAUUUGGUUUCUCGAGUGCUACUGCAUGCAUGCAUACCUACUCAAAGUUCUAUCAAGUUGAUUACUGCUUUCUUAGCACACUGGUUUGGAGAUGUCCUGAUAGAUGGUUGAAGUAAUAUGCCACCUUCAUUCAAUGCAGCUUAUUGAUUGUUAAGAAGUGUUCUACAACUGUGACAGUUAAGAUUACAUAUUGCAUGUGCAUCUAUUUAUGUAUACUACUGGUAUAUGACCCGUGCCGUAGUUUGAUUGUUGUCAGUAAUAAGUAAUUGUUGAAGUUUUUCUAUAAAAUCUUAUAUAUUUCUCAGGUCGAACUUGCAAUUGAACGUGAGGAUGAUUAUUGAAAUUAAUGUUAUCUAAAUUGCGUCAUUGAGGGUUAAUUUUUUUUAUAGUCA